CACCGGCGGCUCGAGUGGUGGCCACUUUUAUUGGGUCUAAAGCGUCCGUAGCCGGCUUGGCAAGUCCCCUGGGAAAUCUGGCGGCUUAACCGUCAGGCGUCCAGAGGAUACUGCCAGGCUUGGGACCGGGAGAGGUGAGAGGUACCUCAGGGGUAGGGGUGAAAUCUUGUGAUCCCUGAGGGACCACCAGUGGCGAAGGCGUCUCACUAGAACGGGUCCGACGGUCAGAGACGAAAGCUGGGGGCACGAACCGG
This 254-nucleotide ribosomal RNA is filed under the name uncultured microorganism. RNAcentral's name for it is "partial 16S ribosomal RNA". It matches the Rfam family "Archaeal small subunit ribosomal RNA", at positions 474 to 727 of the family's 1478-position model. The record is from RNAcentral.